Molecule: ribosomal RNA, 536 nt
Filed under: Escherichia coli
Lineage: Bacteria; Pseudomonadati; Pseudomonadota; Gammaproteobacteria; Enterobacterales; Enterobacteriaceae
Description: bacterial SSU rRNA
Rfam family: Bacterial small subunit ribosomal RNA
Source: RNAcentral
GGGAUAACUACUGGAAACGGUAGCUAAUACCGCAUAACGUCGCAAGACCAAAGAGGGGGACCUUCGGGCCUCUUGCCAUCGGAUGUGCCCAGAUGGGAUUAGCUUGUUGGUGGGGUAACGGCUCACCAAGGCGACGAUCCCUAGCUGGUCUGAGAGGAUGACCAGCCACACUGGAACUGAGACACGGUCCAGACUCCUACGGGAGGCAGCAGUGGGGAAUAUUGCACAAUGGGCGCAAGCCUGAUGCAGCCAUGCCGCGUGUAUGAAGAAGGCCUUCGGGUUGUAAAGUACUUUCAGCGGGGAGGAAGGGAGUAAAGUUAAUACCUUUGCUCAUUGACGUUACCCGCAGAAGAAGCACCGGCUAACUCCGUGCCAGCAGCCGCGGUAAUACGGAGGGUGCAAGCGUUAAUCGGAAUUACUGGGCGUAAAGCGCACGCAGGCGGUUUGUUAAGUCAGAUGUGAAAUCCCCGGGCUCAACCUGGGAACUGCAUCUGAUACUGGCAAGCUUGAGUCUCGUAGAGGGGGGUAGAAUUCCA